AGUGAACGCUGGCGGUAGGCCUAACACAUGCAAGUCGAACGGCAGCAUAGUAAGAGCUUGCUCUUACGGGUGGCGAGUGGCGGACGGGUGAGGAAUACAUCGGAAUCUACUUUUUCGUGGGGGAUAACGUAGGGAAACUUACGCUAAUACCGCAUACGACCUACGGGUGAAAGCAGGGGAUCUUCGCACCUUGCGCGAUUGAAUGAGCCGAUGUCGGAUUAGCUAGUUGGCGGGGUAAAGGCCCACCAAGGCGACGAUCCGUAGCUGGUCUGAGAGGAUGAUCAGCCACACUGGAACUGAGACACGGUCCAGACUCCUACGGGAGGCAGCAGUGGGGAAUAUUGGACAAUGGGCGCAAGCCUGAUCCAGCCAUACCGCGUGGGUGAAGAAGGCCUUCGGGUUGUAAAGCCCUUUUGUUGGGAAAGAAAAGCAGCAGGUUAAUCCCCCGCUGUUCUGACGGUACCCAAAGAAUAAGCACCGGCUAACUUCGUG
This 492-nucleotide ribosomal RNA is filed under the name uncultured bacterium. RNAcentral's name for it is "partial 16S ribosomal RNA". It matches the Rfam family "Bacterial small subunit ribosomal RNA", at positions 29 to 507 of the family's 1533-position model. The record is from RNAcentral.